UGGGGAAUUGUUCGCAAUGGGCGCAAGCCUGACGACGCAACGCCGCGUGGAGGAUGAAGAUCUUCGGGUCGUAAACUCCUUUCGAUUGGGACGAAUGGCUCCCGGACGAACAAUCCGGGGGCGUGACGGUACCGAGAGAAGAAGCCCCGGCUAACUCCGUGCCAGCAGCCGCGGUAACACGGGGGGGGCAAGCGUUGUUCGGAAUUACUGGGCGUAAAGCGUGCGCAGGCGGUCGCGCAAGUCAGGUGUGAAAGCCCCGGGCUUAACUUGGGAAUUGCAUUUGAAACUACGUGACUGGAGUGUGGCAGAGGGAGGUGGAAUUCCACGUGUAGCGGUGAAAUGCGUAGAGAUGUGGAGGAACACCGAUGGCGAAGGCAGCCUCCUGGGCCAACACUGACGCUCAUGCACGAAAGCGUGGGGAGCAA
RNAcentral lists this ribosomal RNA (425 nucleotides) under uncultured bacterium. Its description in RNAcentral is "bacterial SSU rRNA". It matches the Rfam family "Bacterial small subunit ribosomal RNA", at positions 355 to 771 of the family's 1533-position model. The record is from RNAcentral.